Chelonia mydas (Green sea turtle) is the source of this 1270-nucleotide long non-coding RNA. RefSeq lists it as uncharacterized. The transcript has 3 exons. Lineage: Eukaryota; Metazoa; Chordata; Testudines; Cheloniidae. The record is from RefSeq and is a predicted model, not a curated record.
UAAAGUUGCAUUGGCUGGGGAAAUGAAUACAUCACUGAUUUUCUAGCAUGGGUCAUUUAACAGCAUGAAGCACAGAAAUAAGAUAGCCCCAGAAGAGGUGCAGUCACCUUUUCUGCUCUGCUCUGGUGAAAGCCUGUACAACUGACACAAAGAUUGGGAGCUAAGAAGGAAAUAUUGAAGAUGCUGUGGCAUUUCAGUAGUUGGACAAGGAUCUAUGAAGGCUUGGAGAAGGGGACAGUGCAAUGUUGUUCAACCUGGCAGAGAUGGCCAAAGUUGCACUCACUUCCUAUGGAAGAGUAGCAGCUAUGUUAGUCUGUAUCCACAAAAAGAAAAGGAGGACUUGUGUCACCUUAGAGACUAACCAAUUUAUUUGAGCACAAGCUACAGCUUACUUCAUCGGAAUCCUCCAGCUACGACACAUACAUGGAAAGUUCUAUAGCUAAUGGAAUACAGAAAUAUCUCACCUAAUUUGAUAUGGAAAGUAGAUGGCAGUCCAUAAGAAAUGGUAAUAAUAAAGUAAUUUUUCGUGCAUCUGAUCAUAAAGAAUGUGCUUGUAUAGCAGUUUUUACCUGAUGAUCUCACAAGGAUGUACAAGCAAUUAUUUAAGCCUUGGGACACCUCUGUAAAAUGGACAAGUAAUACUUUAGUCAAGUUGCAUUUUCAUGAUUAUUAUACUCAUCUUUGCACGUCUAAAUAUGAGAAGCGUGGUCACAAAAAGCAAGUCAUUGAACCAAGGAGUUCUGAUUGCCUGUCCCUGGGUUUAACCACUAGCCCAUUAACCACAUUUGAUAGACAUUAACAAAAGCAUCAAAAAAUAAUGCACUCUAAAUCCUGCAAAGUUAGGCCAUUACUGUGACAUUUUGGGUGAUGGUUUUUCUUAGUGUCUUAUUAAAUGCAAUUUGGUGGUUGCAUGUAAGUUGGUUUGUUUUUUUCAAGAGGCUCAACUUGGCAGCAUUUCAGAUGCCUGGCUGGUAAGUGCUAAACCCAUUUAUUAUUUUAUUCAACUGAAAGCUUCCAGUGUCCCCUAGAAGCUGAUGUUAAGUGAGGUAACAGUAGAGCUGGACUGACUGUUCUGAUGUAAUAGUAAGAUCAUUAUUUUUUUAUUUUUCAAGUGCUAGCAGCCCUCAAAGAAGUAAGCAAAGACAGCCUAAGAAGCUUCCAGUUGAAAGCCCCAAUCUUGCAAUGUAUUCAUGUGGGUGGAACCCAGUGUGAAUGGGUGACGGGGAUGUGCUGACAUUUGAACACUAAAUAGGGCUCACAAAUAAAUACA